Molecule: long non-coding RNA, 787 nt
Organism: Saccostrea cuccullata (small rock oyster)
Lineage: Eukaryota; Metazoa; Mollusca; Bivalvia; Ostreida; Ostreidae
Exons: 3
Source: RefSeq, a predicted model, not a curated record
CUUCCUUUUUUUAAAAAAAAAACCUUAUUGACACCGCUGCUUCAGAUGGAAUGGAAACGGAUAAGGGCGAAAAUACGCUUUCAGAAAGCUAUGCUCGGAUGCCAGAUACCUACAGUUCAAAAAGGAGACGAAGGAGAAGAAAGAAAAAUAAACAUCAUAUAGGUACAAGUAACACAUCGUUCUACAGAACAUUCAAUAAAAACAUUGCCUUUUGAAAAUAAAAAAUGGAAAUGGAUACACAGGUGUAUCUAAAUAUUAAUUUGUAAAAUAUCAAUUCACGGAGAUAUGGCUGAAAUGUAGUACUUUUAAUUAAGGAAUCACUUUUAAAGCUAAAAUUAAAUCUUUAUAUAUUUGAUUAUUAAGCAAACUUUAAAGGUAUGAAAAUGCUUGUGUUUCAAAAUUUCCGAAAACCUCUUCCAUUUCACUCUCUAAUUUAAAAAAAAAUAUUAAAUGAUAAAUCGUGGAAGUAAAAUAUAUUAUGCUUAAAGUAUAUUUUUAUUAAUUCUUUAAAUGCUGUACAUAUUGAUAACACAAAGGGCCCGCAUAAUGACAGUUAUGAAAUAGAUAUUAUUGUAAAUUUACCCUUGAAAUAUGGAAAAUCUGGAAUUAUAAAAUAAAAAUAAUUGAUGAAUGUCGUCAAUCUAAUAAUACAAGGAAACUAAAAUAAUCAUACUUUUUGUUCCAUACAAGAUUAAAUCAAAUGAGCGCAUUGUUUUAUAUCUGCUGCCAAAAAUCUCCAAUAGAUUCAGAGGUGAGAAUAGAAUAUUCUUUACUCCUUAACAUCAUA